GUUAGGAAUAUUGGACAAUGGGCGCAAGCCUGAUCCAGCCAUGCCGCGUGAACGAUGAAGGCCUUCGGGUUGUAAAGUUCUUUAGCCGAUGAUUAUAAUGACUGUAGUCGGAAAAUAAGCCCCGGCUAACUUCGUGCCAGCAGCCGCGGUAAUACGAAGGGGGCGAGCGUUAUUCGGAAUCACUGGGCGUAAAGCGUGCGUAGGCGGUCUCGUAAGUUAGGAGUGAAAGCCCAGGGCUCAACCUUGGAAUUGCUCUUAAUACUGCAAGGCUAGAGUCUCGGAGAGGAUAGCGGAAUUUCCAGUGUAGCAGUGAAAUGCGUAGAUAUUGGAAGGAACACCAGUGGCGUAAGCGGCUAUCUGGACGAGUAUUGACGCUGAGGCACGAAAGCGUGGGGAUCAAACAGGAUUAGAUACCCCAGUAGUCC
Molecule: ribosomal RNA, 425 nt
Filed under: uncultured bacterium
Lineage: Bacteria
Description: partial 16S ribosomal RNA
Rfam family: Bacterial small subunit ribosomal RNA
Source: RNAcentral